UUUUUACGGAGAGUUUGAUCCUGGCUCAGGAUGAACGCUGGCGGCGUGCUUAACACAUGCAAGUCGAACGAUGAUCUCCAGCUUGCUGGGGGGAUUAGUGGCGAACGGGUGAGUAACACGUGAGUAACCUGC
This 132-nucleotide ribosomal RNA is filed under the name Arthrobacter subterraneus. RNAcentral describes it as "16S rRNA. Bacterial SSU". It matches the Rfam family "Bacterial small subunit ribosomal RNA", at positions 1 to 129 of the family's 1533-position model. The record is from RNAcentral. Lineage: Bacteria; Bacillati; Actinomycetota; Actinomycetes; Micrococcales; Micrococcaceae.